This 588-nucleotide long non-coding RNA is filed under the name Gossypium barbadense (sea-island cotton). RNAcentral describes it as "long non-coding RNA (GBAR_LNC020568)". The record is from RNAcentral. Lineage: Eukaryota; Viridiplantae; Streptophyta; Magnoliopsida; Malvales; Malvaceae.
AGAAAAGAAGCUAGUCCCAAAACUGCUUCAGUGCCUAAUUCCCCGGUGAAAACCUCGCCAACUGCAGCGAGGCCAACAACUUCUCCACCGAAACAAACCACACCUGCGUCAUUGCCUUCUUCUUCAGCCAAGCCAGUGGCAACUACUGCCUCUGUUCCAUCUUCCCCAGCCAAGUCCGUGGCAACUACGGCCUCUGUUCCAACUUCUCCAGCCAGGACAGUUGCAACUGCUGUCUCUGCACCAACUUCUUCUCCAGCCAAGACAGCCCCAACUACAACAUCGGUGACAAAUUCCACAACCCCAAAACCUGCCCCCUCUAUGACGACUACGAAUCGUGUGGCCAGCCCCAAAGCGUCAACAAUACCAACAGUCAAACCUGCCAUGCAGUCUCCAGUUCAAUCGACAAAGAUCAAAGCGCCAACUGCUCCACCACCUUCACCUUUGACUCUCCCACCUCCCCAGUUGAGAGGUCAAGCUGAGCUUGAACCCAAGAUCCCUGUUGAGGCAGAGCAAAAGACUGUGCUCGUUCAAAAGAUGAUUGAAAAGCCCAGGGGGCUUUUUGGUGCCCCUCAAAAGGAUGUUGGUGAC